RNAcentral lists this ribosomal RNA (431 nucleotides) under uncultured crenarchaeote. RNAcentral describes it as "bacterial SSU rRNA". It matches the Rfam family "Archaeal small subunit ribosomal RNA", at positions 344 to 777 of the family's 1478-position model. The record is from RNAcentral. Lineage: Archaea; Thermoproteati; Thermoproteota.
AAACCUUCGCAAUGCGCGAAAGCGUGACGAGGUUAAUCCGAGUGGUUCCCGCUGAGGGAAUCUUUUGUCGGCUCUAAAAAGGCCGGCGAAUAAGGGGAGGGCAAGUCUGGUGUCAGCCGCCGCGGUAAUACCAGCUCCUCGAGUGGUCGGGGCGAUUAUUGGGCCUAAAGCAUCCGUAGCCGGUUCUGUAGGUCCUCUGUUAAAUCCAACGGCUUAACCGUUGGCCCGCAGAGGAUACCGCAGGACUAGGAGGCGGGAGAGGCAGACGGUACUCUACGUGUAGGGGUAAAAUCCUUUGAUCCGUAGAAGACCACCAGUGGCGAAGGCGGUCUGCCAGAACGCGCUCGACGGUGAGGGAUGAAAGCUGGGGGAGCGAACCGGAUUAGAUACCCGGGUAGUCCCAGCCGUAAACGAUGCGAGCUAGAUGAUUC